This 72-nucleotide transfer RNA is filed under the name Marmota marmota marmota (Alpine marmot). It matches the Rfam family "tRNA". From Rfam's summary of the family: Transfer RNA (tRNA) molecules are approximately 80 nucleotides in length. Their secondary structure includes four short double-helical elements and three loops (D, anti-codon, and T loops). RNAcentral also lists the same sequence under 3 other names. Lineage: Eukaryota; Metazoa; Chordata; Mammalia; Rodentia; Sciuridae. The record is from Rfam by way of RNAcentral.
UGGGUUGUGGCUCAGUGGUAGAGCGCUUGCCUAGCACAUGCAAGGCUCUGGGUUUGAUCCUCAGCUUCACAU